This 254-nucleotide ribosomal RNA is filed under the name uncultured bacterium. Its description in RNAcentral is "partial 16S ribosomal RNA". It matches the Rfam family "Bacterial small subunit ribosomal RNA", at positions 524 to 776 of the family's 1533-position model. The record is from RNAcentral.
UACGUAGGGCGCAAGCGUUAUCCGGAAUUAUUGGGCGUAAAGAGCUCGUAGGCGGUUUGUCGCGUCUGCUGUGAAAACUCGGGGCUUAACCCCGGGCCUGCAGUGGGUACGGGGCAGACUAGAGUGCGGUAGGGGAGACUGGAAUUCCUGGUGUAGCGGUGAAAUGCGCAGAUAUCAGGAGGAACACCGGUGGCGAAGGCGGAUCUCUGGGCCAUUACUGACGCUGAGGAGCGAAAGCGUGGGGAGCGAACAGG